RNAcentral lists this ribosomal RNA (303 nucleotides) under Triticum aestivum (bread wheat). Its description in RNAcentral is "partial small subunit ribosomal RNA". The record is from RNAcentral. Lineage: Eukaryota; Viridiplantae; Streptophyta; Magnoliopsida; Poales; Poaceae.
AGCAAACGCACGAAGGCGUACACAGCUACCGAGGACAAACUUCUAUGCGAGUGUUGGCGAGACAUUGGACAAGACCCAAAGAUGGGCGUCGAGCAAAAGCAUUCAACCUUUUGGACUCGUGUGCACCGCGAGUUUCAUGAGCGCAAGAAGUUUCCACCCUACCAAUUUGUGAGCACGCGUGGGUGGGUCUCCAUUUCCAAGCGUUGGAGGGUAAUCCAACAAGAGUGCAACAAGUUUUGUGUCACCCUUGAGAGCGUCAAGGCCCGCCCCGUGAGCGGCAUCGGCGUGCAAGACAUGGUAUGA